Molecule: non-coding RNA, 431 nt
Organism: Schizosaccharomyces pombe (fission yeast)
Lineage: Eukaryota; Fungi; Ascomycota; Schizosaccharomycetes; Schizosaccharomycetales; Schizosaccharomycetaceae
Source: the annotation of a GenBank genome assembly
UGACAAUUGAACGUUAUACAACUAGUAAUGCCGCUAUGUUUAGAAACUCGAAUGAGUGAUGGCAGGCGUUCUUGAGUAAUGCAAGAAGCUCAAGCAACCUGCUACAAUGUUAAGAAGAUUCUAACUUUCAUUUGCAAAAACUAAAAAAAAAAGUAACAUCUUUACUGAAAAGUUUUCUACAUCUCCAACCAAAACUUUUGAUUUUAUAGCGAACGGCGUAGCAACUCAAGCCAAGUUAAACUAGACCGAGUGUUUUAAAAUCGAUUAAGUUUAAUGGCAUUGCUCAUUAUUUUAUUGAAAAUAGGAUUUUGACGUUGGAUAAGUACACAUUGUGGCCUGGAUAUACAAAUCUGUUGUCAACAAGAAUUUAUUGAUGGGUUUAUAGGUGUUUAUGAUAUGCAAGAAAUAUAACAAUUAAAUUAUUUCUGGAG